RNAcentral lists this ribosomal RNA (240 nucleotides) under Salmonella enterica. RNAcentral's name for it is "partial 16S ribosomal RNA". It matches the Rfam family "Bacterial small subunit ribosomal RNA", at positions 1276 to 1515 of the family's 1533-position model. Lineage: Bacteria; Pseudomonadati; Pseudomonadota; Gammaproteobacteria; Enterobacterales; Enterobacteriaceae. The record is from RNAcentral. RNAcentral also lists the same sequence under 2 other names.
AUAAAGUGCGUCGUAGUCCGGAUUGGAGUCUGCAACUCGACUCCAUGAAGUCGGAAUCGCUAGUAAUCGUGGAUCAGAAUGCCACGGUGAAUACGUUCCCGGGCCUUGUACACACCGCCCGUCACACCAUGGGAGUGGGUUGCAAAAGAAGUAGGUAGCUUAACCUUCGGGAGGGCGCUUACCACUUUGUGAUUCAUGACUGGGGUGAAGUCGUAACAAGGUAACCGUAGGGGAACCUGC